Molecule: long non-coding RNA, 1036 nt
Organism: Clupea harengus (Atlantic herring)
Lineage: Eukaryota; Metazoa; Chordata; Actinopteri; Clupeiformes; Clupeidae
Source: Ensembl
UUCAUCCUGGUGUGUGAUCUGGUGUGUGAUCAGAGGUCGUCCUGGUGUGUGAUCUGGUGUGUGAUCAGGGUUCGUCCUGGUGUGUGAUCUGGUUUCGUCCUCGUGUGUGAUCUGGUGUGUGUUCUGAGUUCGUCCUGGUGUGUGAUCUGAGUUCGUCCUGGUGUGUGAUCUGGUGUGUGUUCUGAGUUCGUCCUGGUGUUUGAUCAGGGUUCGUCCUGGUGUGUGUUCUGAAUUCAUCCUGGUGUGUGUUCUGAGUUCGUCCUGGUGUGUGUUCUGAGUUCGUCCUGGUGUGUGAUCUGGGUUCGUCCUGGUGUGUGUUCUGAAUUCAUCCUGGUGUGUGUUCUGAGUUCGUCCUGGUGUGUGUUCUGAGUUCGUCCUGGUGUGUGAUCUGAGUUCGUCCUGGUGUGUGAUCUGAGUUCGUCCUGGUGUGUGAUCUGGUGUGUGUUCUGAGUUCGUCCUGGUGUGUGAUCUGAGUUCAUCCUGGUGUGAGGUCAAGGGGUCAGGGGUCGUCCUGGUGUGAGGUCAGGGGUCGUCCUGGUGUGAGGUCAGGGGUCCUAGUGUGUGAUGCAUGUUGGGAUGCAGGGAGCACUGAUGGGCGUUAGGUCAAAGGUCAGACAUGAAUGUGACUUGAUGAGAGGUCCCAGUCUGCAGACAUUAAACUUGUUCAAGGUGAACAAGGUUAAAAGGUCAAAGGUGACUAGAAGGUUAAAAAGUUAAAGGUGACUAAAAUGUUAAAAGGUUCAAGGUGACUAGAAGGUUAAAAGGUUCAAGGUAACUAGAAGGUUUAAAGGUCAAAGGUGACUAGAAGGUUAUUGAAGAGGGACACUAACCCUACACCUCUGUUGUAAAGCUGGUCAGUGGAUUUAUGUAACAUAACAGAAGAGUUCAUCAGUAGUGUGUGUAUGUGUGAGUGAGUGUGUGUGUGUGUGGGGGGGUAAAGCUGAGAGAGUGUGUGUGUCAGGGAUUAAAGUAUUCCGGCACCGUGCCGGAUUUCCGGCGUCCGGCGUUUGGCUGCGAAAAAAAAUCUUAUAAAAAA